RNAcentral lists this long non-coding RNA (1738 nucleotides) under Ricinus communis (castor bean). Its description in RNAcentral is "long non-coding RNA (RCOM_LNC003151)". The record is from RNAcentral. Lineage: Eukaryota; Viridiplantae; Streptophyta; Magnoliopsida; Malpighiales; Euphorbiaceae.
AUUUCUCCGGAUGAUCGGGUGUCAGAUCGGAAAAUUGAAAGUGGGGAUCGUCAUCAGCGCGUCGUUGUGAGUUCGAUGGUGUGUUCGGAUCGUCGAUCGGACUCCGGCGGCUGGAGGCGAGUCGACCGAGCAUCCGAGCGUCUCGGUAAUUAUCUUUGGCCCGUUAAUUUUGGAAUUCUUGGUUUAAUUUGUGUUUAUAGGAUUAUAUUGAGUAUUUGAUAUUUUUGUGAGUCAAAAAUAUUUGUUUGUCAGUUUGCCUGCCAUAGUCGUGUUUUUGUGCUGUGUGGCGGAGUCGGGAAAUAGUGAAGUUUUGGGACCCGACUCCCGUUGUUUAAAUUGUUGGAUAUUUGGAGUGUUUUUCUGGCAGGUCCUGGACCCGUUUUUACGGGGGGUAAUGUUGGUGUUGUAGGGGAGGUUCUGCCGGAUUUUCGGCAGAAUUCUCCCGAGUCGAGAUUCUUAGACAGUCAGUCCUAGGAAUCUAGACCUAGGAUCUAUUGUAAUUGUUUCAUCGUUUUGAUAAAUUGUUUUCCGUGACUAGAUUGUCAGUUCGUUCGGCUCGCUCCAACUGAGGCACCGGAGCAGAGCUAGGAGGUCGCCAAUCCUGUGAGUUAAAGUCAUUUAAUCAUUGCACUAUUGCUAAGUCUGAUUUAAUAUGCUAUUUUGAAAGUUUAUGCAUAAUAUGGUUAUUAGUAUCGCAACGUAAAUAAUUUCACUGGACUAUUAAUUAUUGAAAAUAAUAUAAAUAUUAUUAUUAGUAACGUUAUAAUAAUACAUAUAUUAUUAUUUUAUCGACACGAAUUGCACGUUGCCUUAUCCUAAAUUUUUAAUCUUUAUUUCGAUAUGUGUUGAAUGAUUUCAUUAAACAAUGAUAUUUAUUAAAUGUGAUGAUUGCGUUUUGGGAAAUGUGGCUUUCGUAGAACAUGCCACCUGGUGGGUUGCAUCAGGACCGCGUGCGCACCGGUAAUGAUCAUGGACAUAAGGUUAUUAUGGAUUUGUUUACCCUGAUCGAGCAUUGCUCUCUGGGCUGAGUUCAGUUGAUUGCCGGAGUUAAGGUCCCUGAUCGAGCGAUGCUCUCUGGGCGCCGGCUUAUUUGGAAUUCAAGUGUUCAGGCUGGAGGUAAGGACCCUGAUCGAGCUUGCUCUCUGGGCGCCAGUCUUAUUGGAUUAAGAGAGCCAAAAUGGCUGUUAGAAUUUGGGGUUAGGGUUCUACUGAGCCACUCGUCCCGUAAAAGUAAAAAUAUAUUUUUAUUUAUUCAUUUAUUAAUUUAUUGUGGUAUGAUUAUAAUAUGGAUUGUAUUUACGUGCAUGGUUGAUAUUUUGAUUCGAAUGAUUAAUAUUUUAUGUGAAGGAAAUAGUAGGGUAUGAUUAUAGUAUGGUUUGAUAUACUGAUUUGAAUAAUCUAUGUUUUCUGAGAAGAAGCAAUAGUCCCUAGAUUAUUUGAUUUUAACUCACUCUCGAGACUGACAGUCUCCAUUUAUGUUUUUUUUUUCAGAUUCGUGACUGCUAGUCCUCUCGCGACUCUUAUUCAGUAACCCGACUCCUUCAUCAUCGGGUGAUGUAUUUGAUUUGGUAUGUAAAUUGGUAAAUCUUAGAUUCUCCGCAGUAGUAAUAGUAAAUGUAUCGGUUGUAAAUUUUCUGAGCUUCGGGUCUCGCCUAGUUUUUCUGGUAGACCGAAGUAAUUUUGUAAAGUGUAACUAUUAAGAUAAAUUGUGGCUUUAAUAAUAUUAAUUUGAGAUGAG